RNAcentral lists this unclassified non-coding RNA (193 nucleotides) under uncultured fungus. Its description in RNAcentral is "sequence contains ITS1, 5.8S rRNA gene". Lineage: Eukaryota; Fungi. The record is from RNAcentral.
UUAACUAUUAUAUAGUACUCAGACAUCACUAAACAAACGAGUUUGGGUCCUCUGACAGGCGCAGUCAGCCGGAGCCGACGCCCCGAGGGGCGGCCUGCCAAAGCAACAAAGGUAUGUAUACACGGUUUGGAAUUACCCAUUUCAAGAAACGGGGCGUUCUUUAAUGAUCCUUCCGCAGGUUCACCUACGGAAA